GGACUGCACGUUCAUCAAUUCUCGUACGCGGGACCGCAAUUUCCUAAUUAGUGCGUCCCUCUGCACUCUAUUUAAGGGACCUCAAGUGGCCAGACAGACACAAUCUCUUCCAUUCGGCAAUUCCGCCAGCCUCUGCGCUCCAUCGGUUCUUUCUUUUUCCUUUUUUUUUUUUUUUUUUUUUUUUUUUAUUUUUCUGUUUUUAAUUCAGCCAAUGAGUGGCUGAUUUCUUCAUCUAGUUGAAUAUUGGUUAAAGUUUUAGUUGUUUAAUGAGUUGUGAGACUUGAUCAAAUAUUAUUUAAUUUUGGGAACUCAAUAUUCAUGCAAUUUCAUAUUUAAUUCUCAUAUUAUUUUGUUAUUGAAAUCUACGUUGAUUUUUUAUUGCAAAAUAAUUAUUUGUUAGUUUGAAUAAUUUAAGUCUGUAAUUGCUUGGGUUAUUCUUACAUGAGAACACUUGGGAUAAAACCCAAGGAAAUUGUUUGAUCUAGCGUUAUCUCCAUACGUUUGGGUAGCUAGGAUUGAAUCUCUCUAUUUCUUAAUGCAAUUGACAAUUGUUUUGAUGCCUAAGGUCCAAGGACGUUCCUUGGCAAUUUGUUAAUUAGUAAUUAAUUAGAGGACGUUCCCUAAUUGGUUUAAUCAUAAGGAGAGAUAAUAGUGGUGAGAAGCGUCUUCCAUCCCCAUAACUAAUCUAUUGAAUCAACCCAAAAGAACAAAGUGUCUGUGAUCAAUCCCAAUAACUAAAGUGGAUCCAAUAUUUCAACUAGAGCUUUCUUAUUAUUUAUUUCUCUUUUAUUUUAUUAUUCGCUCAUUUUAAUUGCUUUUAGUAGUUUAUUAAUCAAAUCAAUCUCAAACCCUCCAUUUUACUUUACUGCAAUUUAUUUUUAUUUCAUUUUCAAUUUAUCUCAUUUUUGGUUUAUCUCAUUGUUUCAAUUUAUUUUAUUGGUCUUGUUGAGAAAAAUAAAUAGGUAAUCAAUUCUCUGUGGAUUCGAUCCUUCAUCACUAUUUGCAGUUGUAAAUUGUUUAUAACCAAGAAGGUUAUUUUUGACCGGCUUCGACAACCGCUAAAAAAUCUAGAAUCAUGCAAUUUGGAAAUCUAUAACUCAACUUAUGUUAUUUUCUUUGCAGACUGCUAUAUACUCACUUACAGGAUCUGAUUGAUCCAAAUUUUAAAUAUGAAUUUUUGCAACAUCAAAAUCGGUCCCUUCCUAACAGAAUCAGGCCUAUAUAUCUCAUAAAAGUUCUAGGUCUGUGUCUCAAGAUUAAUUUGGUUCUUGUAUUACAUUAUUUGGACAUUUCUACAUGAAGUCAUGGCUUGAUAAAUAUAGGCUGCCCGACUAAACAAUAGAAAUUCCAGCAAUACUGAAAAUAUUUUUAUUCAUCUCUAAUCCAACAAAUGCUAAUUCAUGCAAAUCAUUCAUACAUACAUAUUCAUAAUCAAGAAAAUAUAUUUACACAAUUAACUAAUAGUUUAAAUACAAUAAAAUAAAGGUUAGUAUGCACAAACUCUUUUAGCAAAUUAAAAGAUCUUCUUUUCCAUUUUCAAAUCACUUCCUUCUCUUUUCCUUUAGAAGAUCCAACUCCUUACUCCACUUGUCCUUCAAAAGUAAAGAAAAUCAUAAUUUUCCCUUAUUUUUGCAUACAAUGAGACAAAUUAUAGUUUCCUCAAUAUGGUAUUAACUUACGCUUACUCUUUCUCUUUCUUACCUUAAAAUCAUGAUUUACCUAAACUUUUUCCUUGAAAAUCUUCUUGCUCUUGUUUUUCUUUUUUCAAUCUUAAAAUUGCUAUGGUGUUUAUGUGAAGAGAAAACUUGGUUUUAUAUAAAAACUUGAUGGGAUUUUGUGAUUGGAAGAUGAUAGAAAUGGAGGAUAUGGGAGAUGGGGUUUUCGGCCAAUUUGAUUGAAGAAUGGAGAAGAUAAGAUCUUUUCUCUUCUUGUGGCCCUUAUGUCUCAAAUGGGUGGCUUUAUGGAAAAAUUAGGAGUCUACGAUUAUGGGAUAUCACAAGGAAGAGGUUGUGUAGGUAGAGGGUUUGUCUUUAAGCUAAUAAACAUCUACUCAUAUCUAAUUUGUGUAUAUCAAUAUAUACCAUAAUUUUGUCAUGAUAACUUCUCAAAUAAGUUGUUGUUUUAUCUUUUAGUUCAUAAAUGUCCACUCAUACCAAUAUUAAGUACCUUUGUU
RNAcentral lists this long non-coding RNA (2173 nucleotides) under Manihot esculenta (cassava). Its description in RNAcentral is "long non-coding RNA (MESC_LNC011370)". Lineage: Eukaryota; Viridiplantae; Streptophyta; Magnoliopsida; Malpighiales; Euphorbiaceae. The record is from RNAcentral.